Hyla sarda is the source of this 1343-nucleotide long non-coding RNA. RefSeq lists it as uncharacterized. The record is from RefSeq and is a predicted model, not a curated record. The transcript is spliced from 5 exons. Lineage: Eukaryota; Metazoa; Chordata; Amphibia; Anura; Hylidae.
GUAUGGUCACACGCCUGAAAUCUCCAACUGCUGCAUAAGGAACCCGGCAACAGAGUCUUCACUGACCAGAUCCCGGUGCCCGGACACUGACAUCAAGCUGGUCGCAGAUCCGUGCCACAUCGCUUGCGGAGCCUGCCAGCUUCCUCCCACAGGACGAGCUCAUACCCUGCUCACAGCGACACCUUCACCAGCACGAGCCGAUACAUUGGCAACCACAGGUAACAUUCACCCAGAGGCCAGGAGCAGCCUGUGCCAACCUGCGGAGUCAUCCAUUCAUGUAUAAGAUCAAGGAUGGAUCAGAAAAUGACGGUAAUAGCUGGAGUACAUUCCAAUUCAAGACAUAAAGUGUGAUACAAAAUAGAAAACACAUCCCCUUACGGGACUUUUAGGAGGAACCUCAUACAGAUCAAUAUAGCCAGCCAGGCUCUAUCAAUCACAGAACCGGGACCAGGAAGAGAGGAAAGGCCUAUCUCUGACAUGUUCUAUCUCCAUGUGAAAUGCUUGAAGAACACAAACAGCAGAAUAUCUCGGAUUAAUAUAUUAAAAACUAGCUGUAUGACUAGCUUGAUGGAUUAGGGAUACAAGUGAUGAGAUUUGUUUGAAGAUAUCAUCUUAUUGGCCCAUCACCAAUCUGAUAAGACCAGUUUCCAUGACAACUGACUUUGAGUGAGAAAGGAAAUAUCUAAAAAAAGAUGCGGCAGGAUAUUUUUUUUCUAACAGUGACAGAUGCAAGUAUGACACAUAUGGCUGAAUCUGCCACGUUUCAUUAUGAGAUUGAACACAAUGACACAACUCAUGCAACCAGAAUACGUUCAUGCUUAUCUGGGAAGUUAUGGCUGCAGUUAAAAUGUAUUCAUUUGGAAACAGUCAGGAUCCUGCCUGCGCAUUCAUCGGCUCCUCUCAACAAAUAAAAUCUAAUGAACUCCCAUCAGUCAGAAGAAAGCUUCAAGGAGUCUCCGGGGAAUCAUUUUUUUCUUUUUCAAGGAAUGAUAGUGGUCUCUUUGAUUUAUUAUGGAAACAUUUGAAAAAGCAACGCAAUACGGGCACAAGUGUAUUCCAGAUAGAUCACACAGCAUAUGUAUGCGCGAAUAGUCUCCAAUCUGAUUUUACAAUACACAAGAGAAUGUUACUAUGACCUUCACUGAACGCAAUGAAAGGAAGAGCACUAUAACAUAUGAUGCAAUGUUCUUAUGUGUUAUCAACAUUUAGCUCCCAACAGAUGGUCUAUUUGUAGAGGCUAUGGACACCUUUUACAUAGAGAAAUGGUUUUUAACAUACAGUAUGUUGGUUGUUACCUUGAGUAAAAAAUUCUGGCUGCAAUCUCCGUUCCAUCAUUUAUUUUA